This 427-nucleotide ribosomal RNA is filed under the name uncultured bacterium. Its description in RNAcentral is "bacterial SSU rRNA". It matches the Rfam family "Bacterial small subunit ribosomal RNA", at positions 42 to 468 of the family's 1533-position model. The record is from RNAcentral.
UCAGGCCUAACACAUGCAAGUCGAACGGUAACAGGUCUUCGGAUGCUGACGAGUGGCGAACGGGUGAGUAAUACAUCGGAACGUGCCCAGUAAUGGGGGAUAGCCUGGCGAAAGCCGGAUUAAUACCGCAUACGCCCUGAGGGGGAAAGUGGGGGACCGCAAGGCCUCACGUUAUUGGAGCGGCCGAUGGCUGAUUAGCUAGUUGGUAGGGUAAAGGCCUACCAAGGCGACGAUCAGUAGCUGGUCUGAGAGGACGAUCAGCCACACUGGGACUGAGACACGGCCCAGACUCCUACGGAGGGCAGCAGUGGGGAAUUUUGGACAAUGGGGGAAACCCUGAUCCAGCAAUGCCGCGUGUGCGAAGAAGGCCUUCGGGUUGUAAAGCACUUUUGUCAGGGAAGAAAUCCUCUGGCUAAUACCCUAGGGG